Molecule: ribosomal RNA, 960 nt
Filed under: Bambusicola bambusae
Lineage: Eukaryota; Fungi; Ascomycota; Dothideomycetes; Pleosporales; Bambusicolaceae
Description: SSU rRNA
Rfam family: Eukaryotic small subunit ribosomal RNA
Source: RNAcentral
CUGCGAAUGGCUCAUUAAAUCAGUUAUCGUUUAUUUGAUAGUACCUUACUACUUGGAUAACCGUGGUAAUUCUAGAGCUAAUACAUGCUGAAAACCCCGACUUCGGGAGGGGUGUAUUUAUUAGAUAAAAAACCAAUGCCCUUCGGGGCUCCUUGGUGAUUCAUGAUAACUUCUCAGAUCGCAUGGCCUUGCGCCGGCGACGGUUCAUUCAAAUUUCUGCCCUAUCAACUUUCGAUGGUAAGGUAUUGGCUUACCAUGGUUUCAACGGGUAACGGGGAAUUAGGGUUCGAUUCCGGAGAAGGGGCCUGAGAGACGGCCACUACAUCCAAGGAAGGCAGCAGGCGCGCAAAUUACCCAAUCCCGACACGGGGAGGUAGUGACAAUAAAUACUGAUACAGGGCUCUUUUGGGUCUUGUAAUUGGAAUGAGUACAAUUUAAACCUCUUAACGAGGAACAAUUGGAGGGCAAGUCUGGUGCCAGCAGCCGCGGUAAUUCCAGCUCCAAUAGCGUAUAUUAAAGUUGUUGCAGUUAAAAAGCUCGUAGUUGAACCUUUGGCCUGGCUGGCAGGUCCGCCUCACCGCGUGUACUUGUCCGGCCGGGCCUUUUCUUCUGGAGAACCGCAUGCCCUUCACUGGGUGUGUUGGGGACCAGGACUUUUACUUUGAAAAAAUUAGAGUGUUCAAAGCAGGCCUUUGCUCGAAUACGUUAGCAUGGAAUAAUAGAAUAGGACGUGCGGUUCUAUUUUGUUGGUUUCUAGGACCGCCGUAAUGAUUAAUAGGGACAGUCGGGGGCAUCAGUAUUCAAUUGUCAGAGGUGAAAUUCUUGGAUUUAUUGAAGACUAACUACUGCGAAAGCAUUUGCCAAGGAUGUUUUCAUUAAUCAGUGAACGAAAGUUAGGGGAUCGAAGACGAUCAGAUACCGUCGUAGUCUUACCAUAAACUAUGCCGACUAGGGAUCGGG